This 120-nucleotide ribosomal RNA is filed under the name Streptomyces atroolivaceus. RNAcentral describes it as "partial 16S rRNA". It matches the Rfam family "Bacterial small subunit ribosomal RNA", at positions 162 to 283 of the family's 1533-position model. RNAcentral also lists the same sequence under 2 other names. The record is from RNAcentral. Lineage: Bacteria; Bacillati; Actinomycetota; Actinomycetes; Kitasatosporales; Streptomycetaceae.
UCUAAUACCGGAUAACACUCUGUCCCUCAUGGGGCGGGGUUAAAAGCUCCGGCGGUGAAGGAUGAGCCCGCGGCCUAUCAGCUUGUUGGUGGGGUAAUGGCCUACCAAGGCGACGACGGG